CAGCAGCCGCGGUAAGACAGAGGGUGCAAACGUUGUUCGGAAUUACUGGGCGUAAAGCGAGUGUAGGCGGUUCGGUAAGUCGGAUGUGAAAGCCCCGGGCUCAACCCGGGAAGUGCACUCGAUACUACCAAGCUAGAGUACUGGAGAGGUUGGUGGAAUUCUCGGUGUAGAGGUGAAAUUCGUAGAUAUCGAGAGGAACACCGGUGGCGAAGGCGGCCAACUGGACAGAUACUGACGCUGAGACUCGAAAGCGUGGGGAGCAAACAGGAUUAGAGACCCCAGUAGUCCCUGUCUCUUAUAC
Molecule: ribosomal RNA, 301 nt
Filed under: uncultured bacterium
Lineage: Bacteria
Description: partial 16S ribosomal RNA
Rfam family: Bacterial small subunit ribosomal RNA
Source: RNAcentral